Molecule: ribosomal RNA, 273 nt
Filed under: uncultured bacterium
Lineage: Bacteria
Description: partial 16S ribosomal RNA
Rfam family: Bacterial small subunit ribosomal RNA
Source: RNAcentral
UCCUUAGGGUGCGAGAGUUAAUCGGAAUUACUGGGCGUAAAGCGUGCGCAGGCGGUUCUAUAAGACAGAUGUGAAAUCCCCGGGCUCAACCUGGGAAUGGCAUUUGUGACUGUAGAGCUAGAGUACGGUAGAGGGGGAUGGAAUUCCGCGUGUAGCAGUGAAAUGCGUAGAUAUGCGGAGGAACACCGAUGGCGAAGGCAAUCCCCUGGACCUGUACUGACGCUCAUGCACGCAAGCGGGGGGCGCACACAGGCGGCGAUCACCCCGUAGUCC